RNAcentral lists this long non-coding RNA (220 nucleotides) under Brassica napus (rape). RNAcentral describes it as "long non-coding RNA (BNAP_LNC023823)". The record is from RNAcentral. Lineage: Eukaryota; Viridiplantae; Streptophyta; Magnoliopsida; Brassicales; Brassicaceae.
GAAUUGUAGACUUUCCCCGAAGAACAAUCGAGCGGAGCAGUCUGACAGUUGAUCCCACUAGGAGCAGCCAGAAGAUUGUUCCCAACAUUUAUGGAAGUUUCCAUAUCUUUCAAAGAUUUGCCCUAAUCACCUAUUCCCUACUCUGAAGUCUAAGGCGCUUCCAUAUAAAAGCCGCCUCUAUCUUUAUUUUCUUUUCACGCUAGUUUUUGCAAGAGACUAA